Molecule: ribosomal RNA, 420 nt
Filed under: uncultured bacterium
Lineage: Bacteria
Description: bacterial SSU rRNA
Rfam family: Bacterial small subunit ribosomal RNA
Source: RNAcentral
GGGCCCGCACAAGCAGUGGAGCAUGUGGUUUAAUUCGAUGCAACGCGAAGAACCUUACCAGGGUUUGACAUCCUGCGAAUUUCUGGGAAACCGGAAAGUGCCUUCGGGAGCGCAGUGACAGGUGGUGCAUGGCUGUCGUCAGCUCGUGUCGUGAGAUGUUGGGUUAAGUCCCGCAACGAGCGCAACCCACGUCUUUAGUUGCCAGCAUUUAGUUGGGCACUCUAGAGAGACUGCCGGUGAUAAACCGGAGGAAGGUGUGGAUGACGUCAAGUCAUCAUGCCCCUUACAUCCUGGGCUACACACGUACUACAAUGCUACGGACAAAGGGCAGCAAACUCGCGAGAGCUAGCAAAUCUCAUAAACCGUGGCUCAGUUCAGAUCGUAGGCUGCAACUCGCCUACGUGAAGGAGGAAUCGCUAG